UACCAGCUCUCCGAGUGGUAGGGAUGAUUAUUGGGCUUAAAGCGUCCGUAGCCGGCUUAGCAAGUCUCCUGUUAAAUUCAGCGACCUAAUCGUUGAGCCGCGGGAGAUACUAUUAGGCUAGGAGGCGGGAGAGGUCAACGGUACUUCUGGGGUAGGGGUGAAAUCCUAUAAUCCCAGGAGGACCACCAGUGGCGAAGGCUGUUGACUAGAACGCGCUCGACGGUGAGGGACGAAAGCUGGGGGGAGCGAACCGGAUUAGAUACCCGGGUAGUCCCAGCUGUAAACGAUGCGGGCUAGGUGUUGGGGUGGCUACGUGCCACUUCAGUGCCGCAGGGAAGCCAUUAAGCCCGCCGCCUGGGGAGUACGGCCGCAAGGCUGAAACUUAAAGGAAUUGGCGGGGGGGCACCACAAAGCGUGAAGCUUGCGGUUC
This 430-nucleotide ribosomal RNA is filed under the name uncultured archaeon. Its description in RNAcentral is "bacterial SSU rRNA". It matches the Rfam family "Archaeal small subunit ribosomal RNA", at positions 474 to 903 of the family's 1478-position model. The record is from RNAcentral.